UGUAAUGUGCUCCCUGGAGAAGCCACAGGC
This 30-nucleotide non-coding RNA is filed under the name Mus musculus (house mouse). Lineage: Eukaryota; Metazoa; Chordata; Mammalia; Rodentia; Muridae. The record is from RNAcentral.